GGCAACGGGGCGGGCGUGCUAUACAUGCAAGUCGAACGCUUUUUCUUUCACCGGAGCUUGCUCCACCGAAAGAAAAGGAGUGGCGAACGGGUGAGUAACACGUGGGUAACCUGCCCAUCAGAAGGGGAUAACACUUGGAAACAGGUGCUAAUACCGUAUAACAAUCGAAACCGCAUGGUUUCGGUUUGAAAGGCGCUUUUGCGUCACUGAUGGAUGGACCCGCGGUGCAUUAGCUAGUUGGUGAGGUAACGGCUCACCAAGGCAACGAUGCAUAGCCGACCUGAGAGGGUGAUCGGCCACAUUGGGACUGAGACACGGCCCAAACUCCUACGGGAGGCAGCAGUAGGGAAUCUUCGGCAAUGGACGCAAGUCUGACCGAGCAACGCCGCGUGAGUGAAGAAGGUUUUCGGAUCGUAAAACUCUGUUGUUAGAGAAGAACAAGGAUGAGAGUAGAAUGUUCAUCCCUUGACGGUAUCUAACCAGAAAGCCACGGCUAACUACGUGCCAGCAGCCGCGGUAAUACGUAGGUGGCAAGCGUUGUCCGGAUUUAUUGGGCGUAAAGCGAGCGCAGGCGGUUUCUUAAGUCUGAUGUGAAAGCCCCCGGCUCAACCGGGGAGGGUCAUUGGAAACUGGGAAACUUGAGUGCAGAAGAGGAGAGUGGAAUUCCAUGUGUAGCGGUGAAAUGCGUAGAUAUAUGGAGGAACACCAGUGGCGAAAGCGGCUCUCUGGUCUGUAACUGACGCUGAGGCUCGAAAGCGUGGGGAGCAAACAGGAUUAGAUACCCUGGUAGUCCACGCCGUAAACGAUGAGUGCUAAGUGUUGGAGGGUUUCCGCCCUUCAGUGCUGCAGCUAACGCAUUAAGCACUCCGCCUGGGGGAAGUACGACCGCAAGGUGGAACUCAAAGGAAUUGACGGGGGGUCCGCACAGCGGUGGAGCAUGGUGGUUUAGUUCUAGACAACGCGAGGAGCGUUACCAGGUCUUGACAUCCUUUGACCACUCUAGAGAUAAAGCUUCCCUUUCGGCGCCAAGGUGACAGGUGGUGCAUGGCUGUCGUCAGCUCAGUCUGAGAUGUUUGGAUAAGUUCGCACCGACGCACCUUAUUGGUUACUGACCAUCAUUAGCUGGAACUCUACGGACUGCCGGUGACAGCGAGAAGUGGGAUGACGCUGCAGUGAGUCA
This 1180-nucleotide ribosomal RNA is filed under the name Enterococcus avium. RNAcentral describes it as "bacterial SSU rRNA". It matches the Rfam family "Bacterial small subunit ribosomal RNA", at positions 28 to 1192 of the family's 1533-position model. Lineage: Bacteria; Bacillati; Bacillota; Bacilli; Lactobacillales; Enterococcaceae. The record is from RNAcentral.